Apis cerana (Asiatic honeybee) is the source of this 543-nucleotide long non-coding RNA. RefSeq lists it as uncharacterized. The record is from RefSeq and is a predicted model, not a curated record. Lineage: Eukaryota; Metazoa; Arthropoda; Insecta; Hymenoptera; Apidae.
UGCAAAACCAAAGCCAUCAGAUCCUCCAAGCACUAUAGCGUUUUUACACAUAGGCUCAAGAAUUGGUUUAGACAACUCAGCACUAAAAUUGAAAUUUAAAUGAAAUUUAAAAAAGAAUUAUACGAAAGUAUUAUUAUUUUCGGACCAUCACCUUUGCUUUUUUUCUUUUUCUGACGUGCCACACUUACAUGAAAUUGACACCGUUUACAUUUCCACAGGCUACUGAAAUGACAGAACAGAACAAAACCUUUAUGAUCAAAUGGAAAACUAACAUAGAAUUAAAUACGUUCUACGGAAAAUAAAAAAGGACGCAACGAAAGUGUCAUAUUACCUUGGAUUUUUAUUGAGGAGUUUGAAGGGAAGUGAGGUUAAGUAUCGUGAUAGCAUGUUGUUUGAAAAUAUAAUGUUUCCUUGUGAUUAAUAUUAUGAAUUUUUGAAUAUAAAGUAAUAAAGUAUGUACAUAAGAAAGAAAAAAAGUAAUAGUAAACGAAAAUGAAGGGCAAAUGCAACAUUAAAUGAAUAAACAGGAAAUUUAGAAAUAAU